RNAcentral lists this ribosomal RNA (439 nucleotides) under uncultured bacterium. RNAcentral's name for it is "partial 16S ribosomal RNA". It matches the Rfam family "Bacterial small subunit ribosomal RNA", at positions 339 to 795 of the family's 1533-position model. The record is from RNAcentral.
CUACGGGCGGCAGCAGUGGGGAAUCUUGGACAAUGGGCGCAAGCCUGAUCCAGCCAUGCCGCGUGAGUGAAGAAGGCCUUAGGGUCGUAAAGCUCUUUCGCCAGAGAUGAUAAUGACAGUAUCUGGUAAAGAAACCCCGGCUAACUCCGUGCCAGCAGCCGCGGUAAUACGGAGGGGGUUAGCGUUGUUCGGAAUUACUGGGCGUAAAGCGCGCGUAGGCGGAUUAGUCAGUCAGAGGUGAAAUCCCAGGGCUCAACCCUGGAACUGCCUUUGAUACUGCUAGUCUUGAGUUCGAGAGAGGUGAGUGGAAUUCCGAGUGUAGAGGUGAAAUUCGUAGAUAUUCGGAGGAACACCAGUGGCGAAGGCGGCUCACUGGCUCGAUACUGACGCUGAGGUGCGAAAGUGUGGGGAGCAAACAGGAUUAGAUACCCUGGUAGUC